Molecule: long non-coding RNA, 201 nt
Filed under: Elaeis guineensis (African oil palm)
Lineage: Eukaryota; Viridiplantae; Streptophyta; Magnoliopsida; Arecales; Arecaceae
Description: long non-coding RNA (EGUI_LNC059927)
Source: RNAcentral
UCUACACUCCUACAACCCCAUUAGGGGCAGAAGGAAAAUCCUCACUCGAACACAAAAAAGGGGGGAAGAGGAAAAGAAAAAUGAUGAACUACACCAGUGAUAAGUGAAAAACAGACUACAUCGAAGACACAAGGGACCUCGUCUCAACGAGGAAAGAGACUCUUAUCAAAAACCCUCAGUCUCUAAGAGGGAACUCAGUGC